GGGAAUCUUAGACAAUGGGGGAAACCCUGAUCUAGCCAUGCCGCGUGAUCGAUGAAGGCCUUAGGGUUGUAAAGCUCUUUCAGCGGGGAAGAUAAUGACGGUACCCGCAGAAGAAGCCCCGGCUAACUCCGUGCCAGCAGCCGCGGUAAUACGGAGGGGGCUAGCGUUGUUCGGAAUUACUGGGCGUAAAGGGCGCGUAGGCGGGCGCUUAAGUCGGGGGUGAAAUCCCGGGGCUCAACCCCGGAACUGCCUCCGAUACUGGGUGCCUUGAGGACGGGAGAGGUGAGCGGAAUUCCGAGUGUAGAGGUGAAAUUCGUAGAUAUUCGGAGGAACACCGGUGGCGAAGGCGGCUCACUGGCCCGAUCCUGACGCUGAGGCGCGAAAGCGUGGGGAGCAAACA
RNAcentral lists this ribosomal RNA (400 nucleotides) under uncultured bacterium. Its description in RNAcentral is "bacterial SSU rRNA". It matches the Rfam family "Bacterial small subunit ribosomal RNA", at positions 357 to 774 of the family's 1533-position model. The record is from RNAcentral.